Molecule: long non-coding RNA, 362 nt
Organism: Ceratotherium simum simum (southern white rhinoceros)
Lineage: Eukaryota; Metazoa; Chordata; Mammalia; Perissodactyla; Rhinocerotidae
Source: RefSeq, a predicted model, not a curated record
AUCUGAGAUAACACUUCUGGAGGCUGCGGGGCGACAACCACAGCUGAUACCAUCUUUUAUUGUUUGUUGUUAUUUAUCUAGCAUUAUAAACUAAGGAGGAAAAGUAACAAAGAACUUGAAGACUUUCAUGACUCCCAGGCCCUGGAUGGAGGCAGGCGGCGUCAGACAGACAGAACCAAGAAAUCUGAGGGGCAGCCAGGAGGUGCCUGUGGCUGCAGAGCCCAGGCUUGUCUUUGGAAAGGAUUGAGAAGAGCCAGUAAACUUGGCUUCCUCACUUCUGCUUCUCAUACACAGGCGAAUGGUUUGAAGAUAUUGGCCUAGCAAGAUGGCAACGGGUUUGAAAAAUAGGAUUCAUAAGAGGU